Molecule: non-coding RNA, 2043 nt
Organism: Salmo salar (Atlantic salmon)
Lineage: Eukaryota; Metazoa; Chordata; Actinopteri; Salmoniformes; Salmonidae
Source: RefSeq, a predicted model, not a curated record
CAGAAGGUGGCAACACUGGCAGACUCGACGUGAUUCCACGUAAGCAAGUGAAGUUGUUUCGCAAUAAUGCCGCGUUCAAAACUGGAAGCUCGGAACUGGUAACUCGGAAAUCUUUGACCUCCAACUUCAGUGCGUUUAAAACAACUGGGAACUCGGUAAAAACGAGCUCCUACUGGGAAAAACGAUUUGACCGGUCAUCCAACGCAGAAUUCCAACUCGGGAACUCCGGCCUCUUUCUAGAGCUCUGACUUUCCGACCUGAAGAUCACCGAGGUCAUGAUUUGAUCUAGUAUUUCUCUGAGUUCCCAGUUGUUUUGAACGCGGCAUAACCUUGUUAAACGACGCGUCACUAUCAUGGUUGGUGGAAUAUUUUACGGAAUACAAUACACUGGAAUUCGCUUUCCAUUCCAUUGAAACGUUGCACGAGAAAACGGGUGGGACUGGGAAUGGAUCACGUGAAGCACACAGGCUCAUGCCAUUGUGGGGCUAUCAGAUUCGAAAUCUGGAAUUCCCCAGACCUUCUUGUUUUCGAUUGCGAGGUUGGGAUCAUCUGACCACAUAUACAUUCAAUACACACGCUGCCAAGCACACAUUCUGUAGGAUCUGUGGAGUCCAGAGUUUCUACACCCCACGCUCCAAUCCUGAUGGAUAUGGCAUAGCUCCUCACUGUCUGGACCCAGGUACUGUACGCAGUGUGACAGUGGAGAAGUUCUGUGGAAAGAAGUGGGAGGAGAGCAUGCAGAACCACCAGACUAUCAAAGGCAUGUCCAAGCCAUAGGUCCAAGCCUGUAGCAGACACACACAGCUGAGAUAGAAACAAACAGGCCCCUAUUGUAUUACUGAGCCAACUGUUUCUUAAAACAAAUCAACUUUCCCCAAAAAAUCUGAAAUAAAAAGACCAAACCUAGUACUCUGUUUGGUCACAACCAAUCUCUAAGCGUCUGUGUAUUUCUUUCUGCAAGUUCACAAUUCAUUUCAAGUGUUCAUUAUGCAAAAUAUUUGUAUUAUUGGUACUCUUUGAUAGAGGCAGUGAAACCACAGUAGUUGAAUGGGCCUACGGUGACAAGAGCAUGGCCCUCUGGUGACAAGAAUGAAGAGAAGAGUUUCAAUAUUUUGGGAAAGCAUGAUUCAGCAUGGUGAGAGUGGAGUCGGACAUGGUUCCAGCAGAAGUUGGCAAUGUAAUGCAGAGCCAUAUUUAGAGCCAUCUCAUAUUGCUCACAGGCAAUAAGGGACUUUCUCUCGCAAUAUCAACCGACAAACUACAGUAGUGCUUGAGGGAUUUUAACUUGCUGACAUUCCUGAUCAUCGAUUUCAAAAAUAUUUAAUGGAAUACACUGGAAUUCGUUUUCAAUUUGAUUAAACGUUGCAAUGGAAAAACGGGUGGGACGAGUGAAGCACACAGGCGGAUGCCAUUGUGGGGCUGUCAGAUUCGAAGUCUGGAGUUCCCCAGACCUUCUGGUUUUUGACUGCGACUGUAGCAUCUGCACCAAGAAGCAAAACCAUCAUUUCAUUGUGCCAGAAAAUCAGUUUACGCUUUUACAGGGUUUGGAGAAUAUUAACACAUAUACAUUUAAUACACACAUUGGCAAGCACACAUUUUGUAGUACCUGUGGAGUCCAGAGUUUCUUCACCCCACGUUCCAAUCCAGAUGGAUAUGGCAUAGCUCCUCACUGUUUGGACCCAGGUACUGUACGCAGUGUGACAGUAGAGAAGUUCUGUGGACAGAAGUAUGAGGAGACCAUGAAGAACCACCCGAAUAUCAGAGACUUGUCCAAGCCUGUAGCAGAAACACAUACAGUUGAAGUCGGAAGUUUACAUACACCUUAGCCAAAUACAUUUAAACUCAGUUUUUCACAAUUCCUGACAUUUAAUCCUAGUAAAAAUUCCCUGUUUUAAGUCAGUUAGGAUCACCACUUUAUUUUAAGAAUGUGAAAUGUCAGAAUAAUAGUAGAGAGAAUGAUUUAUUUCAGCUUUUAUUUCUUUCAUCACAUUCCGUGGGUCAGAAGUUUACAUACACUCAAUUAGUAUUUGGUAGCAUUGCCUU